RNAcentral lists this long non-coding RNA (509 nucleotides) under Vigna radiata. RNAcentral describes it as "long non-coding RNA (VRAD_LNC007027)". The record is from RNAcentral. Lineage: Eukaryota; Viridiplantae; Streptophyta; Magnoliopsida; Fabales; Fabaceae.
AACGAUAAAAAACAUGCAUAGAAAAUCCAAUGAAUAUCCCAGAAAUCCCAAUUUCAAGACCGCAAUACAGUAUCAGGAAAUCCCAACAUAACCCAAUAAAAACUCAGAGAAAAAUGGAGGAGAAAGGAAGCUUGCGCCUCGAAUUAAAACGAAGGGAAGUAGAACAAUAAUUGCGUCCGUCGUGCCUCCGCCACACCUUCGUCGCCCUUCAACGAUCUUGUUCGCGAGAAAAGGAGAAGAAGGGCUCUUGCAUUGAAUCGUGCCCUUACCGGGCCAAGAAGAGAAGAAACCACGAGACCACCAAAGGAAACCUAAACGCACACUACGAGAGCUCUUCUCUUCCUCGCUCAACUCCAGAUCGAGCAUCUAACUCGCGAGACCAUCUCACCACCGCAGAACGUCGUUUCGAAAUCUCCUCCGGGAGAGACAACAACCCUAAACCUGAAAUGUAGAAAAUAAACUGCAAAUCGACGCCAUAUUCAAUCAUCACCGCGACACCAACCUUCUCA